AAUGCUACUAUUUCAGUCCAUCCUUGCAUUGCCGGCGUUGCUACAGCCCUGCUGCUACAGGAGCUAGUGGUGGGGUGAUGGAGUCCACGCGGUUUCAGAAGCUUUUAAUUAGAUGGUUUGUCUGAUUGUGGAAUGAAGAUGAAAAGAGAAGAGCUGGUGGUGGGUUUGUUGAGGUUCAGAGCAUUUGUGCGAGUGUUAAUGAAGAACAACCCAUUUAACCAUACAACCAUUUUUUUUAAGGCACAGAUUGGUGGCCCUUGUUUCUGUUAACAACAAACAACAUGGUUUUGGAGAAAUAAUAUGUGGCCGAAUUUGCUUAGAAACACCUGCUUAGAUUAUGGGAGAUUAUGCUUUUUGUGCUCUCAGUGGAAAGUCAGUUUGAGAUUCAGUGGAAAGUUGGUCUUGUUUGCGCUCCGUUGGUAGCUGAAAGGAAAAGUAAUCCUUUUGAUAAUUUUUUUAGAGAAUGAAAAAUCUUGACUAUUUCUUUCACUGUUAUGGGAAAAAAAUUUAUUC
Mangifera indica (mango) is the source of this 513-nucleotide long non-coding RNA. RefSeq lists it as uncharacterized. The transcript is spliced from 2 exons. NCBI's taxonomy places the organism in Eukaryota, Viridiplantae, Streptophyta, Magnoliopsida, Sapindales, Anacardiaceae. The record is from RefSeq and is a predicted model, not a curated record.